CAAAAUUCUCCUUAUACAAAUCACGUUUAUAUGUUUUAUUAUGUUUUCAAUUGUUUUCGUAAUUUUUAUGCAGUUUUCCCGUAAGUCGUUUACCAAGUAAAAGGCGAGUGACAGAUGCUUUAUGGCGCAAUCACAUGAUGUUGUCUCAUCAUAAUUUUACAAUAUAAAGCUUCAUAGGCUUUUUAAUCCAUCCAUUUGAAACUGUUUAACAGGUCACAGACACAGUUCCCAAGAGCAACAAAAUAAACGCGGUUGAUUAGCAUAGGCGUAUGGGCCGGGGGGGGCACGUGCCGCCCCCCCCCCCCAAAUUUUUACGGUCGGGUAAAAAUCAAUGCGACAUUCGGGCAAAACAUAAAAAUUUCGGAAAAAUUUUGAUAUGUCCUGAAAACAUUUUUGUGUCUGCGAAAAUCACGUGAUGUUAGGGAAAUUUUUUUGAUAUGCCCGGCAAAAUUUUCGUAUGUUUGUAGAAAAGUAUUUGGUAUGUGGGGAAAAAUGUUUUUGGUAUGUCCGGAAAACAUUU
Molecule: non-coding RNA, 520 nt
Organism: Paramuricea clavata
Lineage: Eukaryota; Metazoa; Cnidaria; Anthozoa; Malacalcyonacea; Plexauridae
Source: the annotation of a GenBank genome assembly